Molecule: ribosomal RNA, 402 nt
Filed under: Crustacea environmental sample
Lineage: Eukaryota; Metazoa; Arthropoda
Description: partial small subunit ribosomal RNA
Rfam family: Eukaryotic small subunit ribosomal RNA
Source: RNAcentral
GCUUGUCUCAAAGAUUAAGCCAUGCAUGUCUAAGUACAAGCCUCAGUAAGGUGAAACCGCGAAUGGCUCAUUAAAUCACACCUAAUCUACUGGAAAGUUACUAGUUACUUGGAUAACUGAGGUAAUUCUUGAGCUAAUACAUGCGAAAAAUCUCGACUCACGGAGAGAUGCUUUUAUUAGAUCAAAACCAAACGGCUUCGGCCGUCUCAUUGGUGACUCUGGACAACUUUGUGCCGAUCGCACGGCCCUGGUGCCGGCGACGUAUCUUUCAAGUGUCUGCCCUAUCAACUGUCGACUGUGAUAUAGACGCUCACAGUGGUUUUGACGGGUAACGGGGAAUCAGGGUUCGAUUCCGGAGAGGGAGCCUUAAAAACGGCUACCACAUCCAAGGAAGGCAGCAGG